CCUACGGGUGGCAGCAGUAGGGAAUCUUUCACAAUGGGCGAAAGCCUGAUGGAGCAACGCCGCGUGCAGGAUGAAGGCUUUCGGGUUGUAAACUUCUUUUCUCAGGGACGAAGCAAGUGACGGUACCUGAGGAAUAAGCCACGGCUAACUACGUGCCAGCAGCCGCGGUAAUACGUAGGUGGCAAGCGUUAUCCGGAUUUACUGGGUGUAAAGGGCGUGUAGGCGGGAAAGCAAGUCAGAUGUGAAAACCAUGGGCUCAACCUGUGGCCUGCAUUUGAAACUGUUUUUCUUGAGUACUGGAGAGGCAGACGGAAUUCCUAGUGUAGCGGUGAAAUGCGUAGAUAUUAGGAGGAACACCAGUGGCGAAGGCGGUCUGCUGGACAGCAACUGACGCUGAGGCGCGAAAGCGUGGGGAGCAAACAGGAUUAGAUACCCGGGUAGUC
This 443-nucleotide ribosomal RNA is filed under the name uncultured bacterium. Its description in RNAcentral is "partial 16S ribosomal RNA". It matches the Rfam family "Bacterial small subunit ribosomal RNA", at positions 338 to 795 of the family's 1533-position model. The record is from RNAcentral.